RNAcentral lists this small RNA (28 nucleotides) under Bombyx mori (domestic silkworm). RNAcentral describes it as "piRNA piR-bmo-2132629". The record is from RNAcentral. Lineage: Eukaryota; Metazoa; Arthropoda; Insecta; Lepidoptera; Bombycidae.
UACUUGUUGGGACAGCCUGUCGAUUUGA